RNAcentral lists this long non-coding RNA (829 nucleotides) under Nicotiana benthamiana. Its description in RNAcentral is "long non-coding RNA (NBEN_LNC022600)". The record is from RNAcentral. Lineage: Eukaryota; Viridiplantae; Streptophyta; Magnoliopsida; Solanales; Solanaceae.
AAUGUGAAUCACCAAACCAUUUAAUUCAAAAAUUAGGAAAAUACUAAAAAAGUGUGGAAGUUAAGCAAUAAUACUAAACAUAGUCUAACUAGGACCCGGUGUCACAGAAAUGAGCCUCCAAAUACAGAGUGUCAUUCUACUACAAAGUCUACCUAAAAGAUGAAAAUGUGAAAAUAAAGGAUAGAGAUAGAGGGGAGAAAUCAAUGGUUGCGAACGCCGUGCAGCUACUUCGACACUCUCGGGAAGUUAACUCUGCUGAUCAACUCGAUCUACUCAGCUUGGGAAGAACCUGGAUCUGCACGCAAGGUGCAUGGAGUAAAGUGAGUACUUCGACCCAGUGAGUAAUAAACAUAAAUACAGUCUGAAAGUAAGAAAACGCAAAAAACACACAGAGUAACAUAUAUCUAGCAGUUCAUAUCAAUAUCAAUGUAAAUAGUAAAAGAGUAAUACAUUUAAGGAAAUAAUGCAUGAAUAGAUGCCAACACAUAUAAAAAGUGAGGAAAACUAAUGAAGAUCCCUUAUGGAUUCUACAGGUCGGCACAAGGCCCCAAACAUGGAAAUAAGCCCAAUUCACAGUAAUAAGGUAUGUGUCUCAAUCGCCAAUAUAGUGGAAAUAACACUCGGGAUAGACCAAGUCACCAUCCCCAAUAAUAAACGACCCCGCACUCAUCAUAGAAUGCGUGUCACGCCUCAAUAUAACAUUACGAUGUGAAAUUUCGGGGUUGCAAACCCUCAGAGCAGCACUUACAUCUAUUAUUCACCUCUAGCCGGCCAAAGACUAGAUCGCAAUGCCCUUUCCUCUCGAAUCGACCUCCUCGCGCAUCAAAUC